This 65-nucleotide transfer RNA is filed under the name Atergatis floridus. Its description in RNAcentral is "tRNA-Gly". It matches the Rfam family "tRNA". Rfam says of the family: Transfer RNA (tRNA) molecules are approximately 80 nucleotides in length. Their secondary structure includes four short double-helical elements and three loops (D, anti-codon, and T loops). The record is from RNAcentral. Lineage: Eukaryota; Metazoa; Arthropoda; Malacostraca; Decapoda; Xanthidae.
AUUUACUUAGUAUAAUAGUACAUUUGACUUCCAAUCAAAAAGUCUAGAUUUCUCUAGAGUAAAUA